UACGCAGGAUGCAAAUGCUAUCCGGAUUCAUUGGCUUUAAAGGGUGCGUAUUCGGCAUAAUAAGACAGCGGUGAAAGCCUGCGACUCAACCGGAGAAUUGCCAUUGAUACUGUGAUUCUUGACUUCAGGUGAGCGUGCGUGUAAUGUGAAAUGUAGCGGAGAAGUGCAUACAUAUUACGCAGAGCACCAGUUGCGAAGGCGGCUCACUAACCUGCCUCUGACUCUGAGGCACGAAAGCGUGGGGAGCAAACAGGAUUAGAUCCCCUGGUAGUCCACGCUGUAGACGAUGAUCACUCGUUGUCGGCGAUAUACCGCCAGCGACUGAGAGAAAGCAUUAGGUGAUCCCCCUGGGGAGUACGGCGGCAUCGCUGAAACUCAAAGGAAUUGCCGGGGGUCCGCACAAGCGGAGGAACAUGUGGUUUAAUUCGAUGAUACGCGAGGAUCCUUACCUGGGCUUGAAAGGGGACCGUCCUUCCGGGAAUCCGGGAUUCUCUUCGGAGCGAUCUCCUAGGCGCUGCAUGGUUGUCGUCAGCUCGUGCCGUGAGGUGUCGGGUUAACUCCCAUAACGAGCGCAACCCUUAUUGUUAGUUCCCAGCGGGUAAUGCCGGGAACUCUAACGAAACCGCCGGUGUAAACCGAGAGGAAGGUGGGGAUGACGUCAAAUCAGCACGGUCCUUAUGUACAGGGCUACACAUGUGUUACACUGGCCGGUUCAAAGGGCAGUUUCUUGGUGUCAAGAUGGUAAUCUCAAAAUCCGGUUUCAGUUCGGAUCGAAGUGUGCUCCUCGAUUUCGUGAAGCUGGAUUUGCUAGUAAUCGCGCAUCAGCAACGGCGCGGUGAAUUCGUUCCCUGGCCU
RNAcentral lists this ribosomal RNA (855 nucleotides) under uncultured bacterium. RNAcentral describes it as "SSU rRNA". It matches the Rfam family "Bacterial small subunit ribosomal RNA", at positions 524 to 1381 of the family's 1533-position model. The record is from RNAcentral.